UUUUCCCUGGCGGGUCUGGCAUCUCUGCGAAUACAUUUUUGUCAAUUCUCAGUAAUGUAAUCCAUAAGAUGGGCAAAAGGAGUAAAUCAAAAACUCCCAGAGAGAUGCAAGAUAAUACGGCUGCUGUAGAAGAGGAAAAACCAUCAUCUUCGGCCAAGAAAUUGCUGAAUCACUGGGUUAAACCCAGAAACUACCAUCGAUAUUUGCAGUUGUGGUAGUUUCGAAUGCUCGAACCCUUAGGGAAUGGAUUUCGUCAUCUCUCGGGCCUGAUGCAGUUGCAAAGCAUAUGGUAGCAGUCAGCACUAAU
This is a non-coding RNA of Prunus avium (sweet cherry), 307 nucleotides long. Lineage: Eukaryota; Viridiplantae; Streptophyta; Magnoliopsida; Rosales; Rosaceae. The record is from RefSeq and is a predicted model, not a curated record.